This is a long non-coding RNA of Pezoporus occidentalis (night parrot), 2129 nucleotides long. RefSeq lists it as uncharacterized. The record is from RefSeq and is a predicted model, not a curated record. The transcript is spliced from 2 exons. NCBI's taxonomy places the organism in Eukaryota, Metazoa, Chordata, Aves, Psittaciformes, Psittacidae.
CGUAGGCAGCUGCCGCACGUGCGGCUGCUGUCCUCCGACGGCAUCACGAGCCGCCACCGUUAGUUAGCCCAACAGCCGCCACCAACCGUCCCGCAGCGCGACUCACCGCGGUUGGCCGAGUUCUCUCGGCCGCCGAUGUCCCCUGUCGGGGAGCAGGGACCGGCGACUGUGGGCCGGGCUCCGCCGCGGCUGCUCUGGGCCAGCCACUCCACCGAGAAAGGCCCCUUCUCCAUCUCCCCCGCUGCUGCCGGUCCCAGCUCACUGAGGCUGCCCCGGCUCUAGGGACAAACAUUUAAAGCACCUUCCGCGACGUGUUUUUUGAAAAGGCCGCAAAGCAUCAAAUGAGACAGAGGACAAAGGACUUCAUUGAGAGGUGCUUUAAUCUCCCCUUUCAGGUGAUUGUUGCAUCCGCCUAAUCUCUGAACGCAGCAGUUAGCAGAACUCAAGGCUACCUGACCUGGCGCCAAAUUCAGCUGAGUAGUCUCUUGACCACGUAGCUGCUGGUAAUUGCAUCAUGGCCAGUGCUUUUUAUGCUGCCCAAGCUGGCCUCGACUCUCGAAUCACUCCGUGAUUUUCUAUAUUUAUCUCCCGGUAUGAAGGACAAGGAUUGGGACGGUACUGGUAACAAAGGAUAGAGGGAGGCCCUUUUUAUGAGAUUUAAACCCAAAGCUGGAGCCCCUUUUGCUUGUUUGAUGCAAAGUUUGGAAUAAUCCUGUUGCCUUUCUACCGGCAAAGGAGUGACUUAAGCCAGGAGGUUAGGUGCCCAGUGGCCACUGAGAUGCUCAGAAAUGGGUUGGAGCUCAUUCCCUAUGAGGACAGGCUGAGGGAACUUGGCUUCUUCACUUUGGAGAAGAGCAGGUGUACUGGGGACCUAACAAAAGCUUUUCAAUACAGGGUUAUCAAACUGGACUCAGGCACAGUGAUCCAUGGUAGAUGGAUGAGAGACAAUGGGUAUGAGCUGAAAGAAUAAAGAUCCCGACUUCACGUAAGGAAAGACUUUUGACCAUGAGGAUUGUAGUGUGAGAUUGUGCAGCGUUAUCCUUGUAGGUUUUAACAGCUUAACUGGAAAAAGCCCUCAGUAACCUGGCCUGACAGCCUCCGCUGUUCAAAGCUGACCAUGCUCUGAAUCAGAGGUUGAUCUGCAGACCUUCUGAGAAGGUUUUCAAUCUAAAUUGCCCUAUAAUCAGAUACUAAAAAGCCAGCCGCACCUCUAUGAAUAUGGAAUGAUUAUAAUGUCUAUUAACAACAUACAGAUACCUGACAGAUCUACUGAUUUAUUCCCUCCUCCCCCCCUGCUUUUUUUCCCCCUUCUUAAAAGGAGUCAUGCACACUAACUAGUUCUGCUGGAAAAUGUCCUACUCACAUGAAACUAAACUUCGGAUUGUUCUACUGUUGUUCUUUGCUUGACUAAAUUUAGUGGGAGGUUGCAAAUACUGUUUAGAAUUUCAUUUAUCAUUCUAAGAAUUUGUAAGCAAACCAAAUAGGUCUUUUGUAUUUUAUGUUCAUAUUUAAAGAUCAUUAUGGAUGAAAGUCAAAGAACACAUGCUUUCUGGCAUAUAGAGGAAUCGAUUUAUUUUGACUACCUGACACACUCAGAUAUUGCAAUAUUUGUGACUUAAAGCACAGUUUAAUUGGAUUUUGCUCCUUAAACAUGCUUUACAUUAAUGUUAUAGUGUGCAAAGUUCUUCUGUUUACUGUAGGACUGGAGGGUCUUCAGCCAAUUAAAGUUGGUUUGUUGUUUUUUUUUUAAAUAUUUGUAUUGUUAGAUGUCUGCUUUAUGCACAUUCCCAGACCCAAACUGAACUUCUUGAAGGGCUGAACUCAUGCAAUAAAUCUGCUUUCAUAUGAGCAUAAUGACCCUGACAGAAACAAUAGUGUUGCAAAGUCAAGCCUUUGAGUGGACUUUUAAUAGCAGAAAGGCAUUCUGCCAAGUUUAGGUAAGAAGGCUCUAAGAAGUUAUUCUGCUGCUCCCCCUAUAAAAAACCAGUUUAUAAUUACCAGCACAAAAUCUAGCAGCAGGAAGUAAGGUUUCAGUUUUAAAAUGUAACUUGAUUAGCUUUUCAAUGUUAAAAUUAAAGCUGUAAGAGCUCAUGAAUAUCUGCCAGCCCAGCAGAUUCCUGAGUUGGUUU